CAAUGAAUCCAUUCGAUUCCAUUCUAUGAUGAUUCCAUUCAUUUCCAUCUGAUGAUGAUUCCAUUCGACUCCAUUCAAUGAUUCCAUUCGAUUCCAUUUGAUGAUGAUUUCAAUCAAUUUCAUUCGAUGAUUCCAUUCGAAUCCAUUCGAUGAUGAGUCCAUCCAAUUCAAUUUCAUGAUAAUUCCAUUCGCUUCAAUUCGAUGGUGUUUCCAUUCGAAUCCAUUCGAUGUUGAUUCCAUUAGUUUCCAUUGGAUGAUGAUUCCAUUCGAGUCCAUUCGAUGAUGAUCACAUUGGAUUUCAUUCCAUAAUUCUAUUCGAUUCCAUUUGAUGAUGAUUCCAUCUGAUCCCAUUUGAUGAUUCCAUUCGAUUCCAUUCGAUGACGAUUCCAUUCGUUUCCAUCCGAUGAUGAUUCCAUUCAAUUCCGUUCAAUGAUUAUUCCAUUCGAGUCCAUUCGAUGAUUCCAUUUGAUUCCAUUCGAUGAUGAUUGCAUUCGAAUCCAUGGAUUAUUCCAUUCCAUUCCAUUAGAUGAUUCCAUUCGAGUCCAUUCGAUGAUUCUCUUCGAUUCCAUUCGAUAAUUCCGUUUGAUUCCGUUAGAUGUUGAUUCCAUUCGAGUCAAUUCGAUGAUAAUUCCAUUCAAUUCUAUGCGAUGAUUCCAUUCCAUUCCAUUUGAAGAUGAUUCCAUUCGAGACCAUUCGAUGAUUGCAUUCAAUUCAUUCGAUGACGAUUCCAUUCAAUUCCGUUCAAUGUUUCCAUUAGAUUCCAUCUGAUGAUGAUUCCAUUCGAUUCCAUUUGAUGAUGAUUCCAUGCGAUUCCAUUAGAUGAUGACUCCUUUCAUUUCCAUUCGAUGAUGAUUCCAUUCGUUUCCAUCUGAUGAUGAUUCCAUUCGAUUCCGUUCAAUGAUUAUUGCAUUCGAGUCCAUUGAAUGAUUCCAUUCGAUACCAUUCGAUGAUGAUUGCAUUCGAGUCCAUGGAUU
This 974-nucleotide long non-coding RNA is filed under the name Homo sapiens (human). RNAcentral describes it as "HSALNT0161657". Lineage: Eukaryota; Metazoa; Chordata; Mammalia; Primates; Hominidae. The record is from RNAcentral.